Molecule: ribosomal RNA, 480 nt
Filed under: Fusarium verticillioides
Lineage: Eukaryota; Fungi; Ascomycota; Sordariomycetes; Hypocreales; Nectriaceae
Description: eukaryotic LSU rRNA
Rfam family: 5.8S ribosomal RNA (bases 134-287)
Source: RNAcentral
CUCCAACCCCUGUGACAUACCAAUUGUUGCCUCGGCGGAUCAGCCCGCUCCCGGUAAAACGGGACGGCCCGCCAGAGGACCCCUAAACUCUGUUUCUAUAUGUAACUUCUGAGUAAAACCAUAAAUAAAUCAAAACUUUCAACAACGGAUCUCUUGGUUCUGGCAUCGAUGAAGAACGCAGCAAAAUGCGAUAAGUAAUGUGAAUUGCAGAAUUCAGUGAAUCAUCGAAUCUUUGAACGCACAUUGCGCCCGCCAGUAUUCUGGCGGGCAUGCCUGUUCGAGCGUCAUUUCAACCCUCAAGCCCAGCUUGGUGUUGGGACUCGCGAGUCAAAUCGCGUUCCCCAAAUUGAUUGGCGGUCACGUCGAGCUUCCAUAGCGUAGUAGUAAAACCCUCGUUACUGGUAAUCGUCGCGGCCACGCCGUUAAACCCCAACUUCUGAAUGUUGACCUCGGAUCAGGUAGGAAUACCCGCUGAACUUA